AUUAAAGAACCUUAGUGAGCGCGCUCACAUACCCCACGUCCCCACAUUGUCAUUGGAGAAAUAAAAUAUGUGUAAGAAAAAAAAAUUGUAUAAGAAAAAAAAAUUGAAUCAUAAUUUCCUGUCAAUAUGCACAUCUACAUAGUAUGUCCUUAUUAUCUACAAAGGUUUCAUGAAAUUCUGUUGUGUGGUAUCAGAGGAGUUGCGAUGACAAACUGUUGCAGUAGUACAUUAAAGUAAAUAAGUUCAAAGGGGCGUAACUCCUAGAAAAAAAAUUGAAUUGCAAUUUCCUGUCGAUAUGCACAACUACAUAGUAUGUCCUUAUUAUCUAAAAAGGUUUCGUGAAAUUCUGUUGUGUGGUAUCAGAGGAGUUGCGAUGACAAACUGUUGCAUAAUACAUUGAAGCAAAUAAGUUCAAAGGGGCGUAACUCCUAGAAAAAAAAUUGAACCGUAAUUUCCUGUCGAUAUGCACAUCUACAUAGUAUGUCCUUAUUAUCUAAAAUGGUUUCAUGAAAUUCUGUUGUGUGGUAUCAGAGGAGUUGCGAUGACAAACUGUUGCAGUAGUACAUUGAAGCAAAUAAGUUCAAAGGGGCGUAACUCCUAGAAAAAAAAUUGAACCGUAAUUUCCUGUUGAUAUGCACAUC
Molecule: long non-coding RNA, 641 nt
Organism: Mytilus californianus (California mussel)
Lineage: Eukaryota; Metazoa; Mollusca; Bivalvia; Mytilida; Mytilidae
Exons: 2
Source: RefSeq, a predicted model, not a curated record